Molecule: long non-coding RNA, 1914 nt
Filed under: Homo sapiens (human)
Lineage: Eukaryota; Metazoa; Chordata; Mammalia; Primates; Hominidae
Description: HSALNT0012316
Source: RNAcentral
UAGGGGACAUAGGAAAUGGGUACAAAUUCAUAGAACAUUAGAGUUUGAGGGGCCAUUGCCAAGACUAAGAACUGCUACCAUUUAUUGUCAUCCCUUGUCAGCCAGACAUGUAGGUUCAUUUCCACAAUCUUACUCAGCCCAUGCAAUACGGCUAUUAUUAAACCAAUUUUUACAGAUGAGUCAACUGAGCCUUGGAAAUUGACUAGCUCAAGGUCCCUCAGUGAGUAAAUGUCAGAGCCCGAAUUGAAAGUCAGGGCUGUCUCACUCCCAAAGGGUGCUCCUCCCUUGUUUUAUAGCCAGCAGCCUGAGGCUGACUGUGCCAAGUGCCAAAUGAAUGUAACAACUAUUCUCCUCUGAGAAGUCAGCUCUUUGAGGACAGACGGAAGCCAGCCUCCUGGGAAAUGAGCCUAACAGGUAUAGAAGGGGCAGCCAACACAAGAGUCCUCUGGGACCCAGAAGAGAAAAAAAUUUAGGCUCAGGCUGAAAAGAAAAAAAGACGGCAGCAACAGCCAAGUUACCCUGAGGAGGGCAUAUUCAGGGAACAUCAGAGGCUAGGCUAAGGCUAAGCUUAGGUGGUCCAGUUAGGACCUAAAGCAAUGGACAUUUACCAUGAAUCUUUCAUGCCGGGGACGAUGCUAGAGCAAAUGUGAAGUGUUGGCUGUGGUGAAUAAAUGAGCAAAUGAAGGCACUGGUGGUAAGUGCUGGGGUAUGACAAUGACUAAUAGCAAAGGGUGUGAGGGAGUGAAAAAAAUGCGUGCGCUGAGACAGAGGCCUGGAUUUGAAUCCUGGCUCUUGCCUUUAUAUGACCUUGGGCAAGUUCUUUAUCCUUUCUGUGCCACAGUUUUCUCCUGUGCAAAAUAGGGAUUAAAAUGGCAUGUAUCUUUCAGGAUAUCACAAGGAAUAUGUAAGAUAUUAUACAUCAAGUGGUUAGAACGCUGGCUGGCACAUUGUAAGUACUCAGCAUUUGCUGGCUUUGUAGAAAAUAAGGCUUUGAGAAGCAUCUAAUAUUGUGCCUGGUACCUACUUGGCAACCCAUAAGUGGUAACUCUUACGAUUAACAAGGGACAGCUCCCAUCCUUAGAGUGAUACUGCCUCAGGGUAAUCUGUCCCUCGGUGGAUUGAAGGAGCAGUGGACCCUGACCCUGCUUAGCAAUAAACAACAUUUUAUGUAACUCAAUCAAAGUACAAAGGGUCUUCAUGUACUCUGCCCAUUUCAUGACCCAUAUGAGAUUUAAAAAGCCACAAAAACUGUGUGGCUCCAAAAGACAUUUCUGUACAAAGACCUGAGUUCAAAUGGCCAACCUGCCACUAAUACACUCUGUGGCUGUGAGAAGCCCCUUCCUCUCCCCAGGCUGGCUCCUGGGCCUACAGCUGAAAGGAUUUGCCUGCCCAGGCUUUAUGGCCCUUGCAGCUUUGAUAGUCCUGCAUUCUCUUUUGCAGGUCAGAGGAGAGACAGGCCUCGACCACGCAGUUUCAGUGACUCAGGCUUCAUGGGAGAGUAAGAAUGUGAAAAAUCCAUCUCUCCCUAAUUGAAAUCUCAAGAUACAUAUUUCCUGUCAGUCCUGGAAAGAAAUAGCAGAAAAUCCAUCAUCCACACAUAAAUUGUGUCAAUUCCCUUGUCCUGUACAAGUUACUUUGGGGCACAGGGCCCAUCAGUCACAGAUGGGACUUCCCAUCUCACAGCUGUGUGACCAUCAGGAGUACACUGCUGCCUUCCACCCCUGCUGUCCCUAACCAUGCUGGACAAUGUGUCAGUAAAGUAACCUAGUGCCCUGGAGUUGGGCUAGAGCAAUCCCAGAUUACUGUGGGGUUAACUUACACUGGAUAAAUGCCAACUCUCUCUCCUCUUCCCCCAGGAUGGGAAAGGCAGGCAGCUUGACAAGGACAAGCGUUGACCAGCAAUGCUAGCAGAAA